GGGCCCUUAGCUCAGCGGUCAGAGCAGUGCACUCAUAAUGCAUUGGUCGUAGGUUCGAAUCCUACAGGGCCCA
RNAcentral lists this transfer RNA (73 nucleotides) under Phycisphaerae bacterium. RNAcentral describes it as "tRNA-Ile". It matches the Rfam family "tRNA". Rfam says of the family: Transfer RNA (tRNA) molecules are approximately 80 nucleotides in length. The record is from RNAcentral. Lineage: Bacteria; Pseudomonadati; Planctomycetota; Phycisphaerae.